UCUUUGCUAGUAUAUCGGUUAGUACACGCGCCUGUCAUGUUACAUGGUGCGCGCGAAAGCUGGGUUCGACUCCCAGGCAGAGAG
Molecule: transfer RNA, 84 nt
Filed under: Asterophora parasitica
Lineage: Eukaryota; Fungi; Basidiomycota; Agaricomycetes; Agaricales; Lyophyllaceae
Also listed under: 1 other name
Description: tRNA-Asp
Source: RNAcentral